RNAcentral lists this ribosomal RNA (253 nucleotides) under uncultured bacterium. RNAcentral's name for it is "partial 16S ribosomal RNA". It matches the Rfam family "Bacterial small subunit ribosomal RNA", at positions 524 to 776 of the family's 1533-position model. The record is from RNAcentral.
UACGAAGGGGGCGAGCGUUGUUCGGAAUUACUGGGCGUAAAGGGCGCGCAGGCGGCCCAUUUUGUCGAGUGUGAAAGCCCCGGGCUCAACCUGGGAACGGCGCUCGAAACGGGUGGGCUAGAGAUCGGGAGAGGAGCGUGGAAUUCCCAGUGUAGAGGUGAAAUUCGUAGAUAUUGGGAAGAACACCGGUGGCGAAGGCGGCGCUCUGGACCGAGACUGACGCUGAGGCGCGAAAGCGUGGGGAGCAAACAGG